UUUAAUUUGACUUGGUGAAGUCAGUGGGAGGAUUGAAAUUGGCUGGAUAUUUUUUUUCUCAUUUAUCCUUUAAUAAAAUCCUCAAAAAUUAUUAGGUCCCUAAAAAUGAUUAAGUUAUAUUGAUAACUAAGUCAUAGCCUCCCAUUAAGUGAGUGAUAAUGAGUCCAUUAGUUUAAUAAUCAUUGGAGGCCCAAAGGCCUGGUGCUUAUUGACUAAUGGAAUUAUCAUUCAUAAUAUGAUAAUUUAGUUUGAGUCUUUCUGAUGGUGGUCAGGUUGGCCGGCCAAAGUC
This 289-nucleotide long non-coding RNA is filed under the name Elaeis guineensis (African oil palm). Its description in RNAcentral is "long non-coding RNA (EGUI_LNC048529)". Lineage: Eukaryota; Viridiplantae; Streptophyta; Magnoliopsida; Arecales; Arecaceae. The record is from RNAcentral.